UUAUCUGUACAGUUUCCUCAAGUCAUUUCGGUAUAGGGAAUUACAAGUUUUAUGUCAGAACAUUUUGUUUAACUACAUAACUUGUCGAAAUUCGUUGACUGACAAGCACCUGGCUUCCUUUCAGCGCCAUCUUCAGUUAACGGUAAUGAAGCGUUUUCAUUGGUCGAACGAUUACGGAAGGUCACGAGUAUUUUUAGCUUAUCGAAAGAAAUUUUAUUAUUAUAUUCUAUUUACGGAACAAACAUUUUAGCAAAUAUAAAGUCGCUUGAGAAUGAUUUUUGUAUAUCUAUUUAAUAAAUAUAAACAUUUCAUAACGGCCGAAGUGAGAAAUGCCGCAAAUGAUUUCCAUUGGUUUACUGUCCAAUCUUGCAGUUGCGCGGUAGAAAAUCGCACAGAAACUGCACGGAAAAUGCAAAAACUUGCACAAUUUUUAAGUACAAGUAUAAAACCCCAAAACGCGAGUCUGACGUCAUUCUGGCUAAGACGUUGAUAAAAUAAUAAGGAG
RNAcentral lists this long non-coding RNA (505 nucleotides) under Mytilus galloprovincialis (Mediterranean mussel). Lineage: Eukaryota; Metazoa; Mollusca; Bivalvia; Mytilida; Mytilidae. The record is from RNAcentral.